This 1104-nucleotide ribosomal RNA is filed under the name Triticum aestivum (bread wheat). RNAcentral's name for it is "partial small subunit ribosomal RNA". Lineage: Eukaryota; Viridiplantae; Streptophyta; Magnoliopsida; Poales; Poaceae. The record is from RNAcentral.
AUGGCAGGAUCACAAGCCGACGAGACUGACUGGGAGAACAUGACGAAUAAGGAGUUGCAUGAUAAAUUUCACCAAAUGAUGAGUGGACAGGUGCAAGAUGUGCUAAACAGAUUUGAAGAGGCCAUGGAGAAGAUAGAUGGCAUGGAGAAGACGUUCGAAACAAAGCUCGAUAAUAGGUUUAAUGAAUUGCUCGCGCGUCUUCCACCACCACCACCGGUUGCACCUAACGCACCUCUACAGCAACAACAACAACGACUACCUACACAUCGCGAAACAGCCCUCCGUCGAGCGAGACGUCUCCCUCUUGCACCUGGCCACACUGUUGGUGCUACUGUUGAUACUUUUGUGGCUCCUGCUGCUGAUGCGGAGGAGGAUGAUUUUGCGGGAGAUUACGAGGAUGAGGUUGAUCAAAAUCAGAACUACGUGCCACCACCAGCACGACAACCACCAGGUUGUCCACAUGCAAAUAAUGGCAAUGGUAGGGCUCACCCUCAGGUACGAGAUCAUGACCAUCUCCCUAAACUAAAAUUGAAUAUUCCACCAUUUGAGGGUAGAUAUGUUCCUGAUAUAUAUCUUACUUGGGAGUUAGAAACUGAACAACGAUUUACAUGUUUACAAUAUCCCGAGGAGAGACGUGUUCCUACUGCUGUUUGUGCAUUCACUAGUUUUGCAUGUGUUUGGUGGUCUGAGCAUUGUAGAUUACAUCCUAUUCCAGCUACUUGGGCUGCUUUGAAAACUGCUAUGUGUACUCGUUGGGUUCCACCAUAUUAUCAACGUGAAUUACUUCAAAAAUUGCAGCGUUUAAGACAAGGAAAAAAUUCUAUAGAAGAAUAUUAUCAGGAAUUACAAACUGGCAUGAUUAGAUGUGGUAUUAUUGAGGAGAAUGAAGCUAUGCUUACACGUUUUAUGGGUGGAUUAAAUAGAGAUAUUCAGACCAUUCUAGAGUAUAAGGAGUAUACUAAUAUCACUCGUUUAUUCCAUCUUGCUUGUAAAGCUGAACAUGAAGUGCAGGAUCGACAGGUAUUGGCGCGAACUAACUUUUCUGCAGGUCGAUCUUCAUCAUGGACACAACGUGCAUCCUCUACUUCAACUCCACCAGCACCU